AGCGAACGCUGGCGGCAGGCCUAACACAUGCAAGUCGAACGAACUCUUCGGAGUUAGUGGCGGACGGGUGAGUAACACGUGGGAACGUGCCUUUUGGUUCGGAAUAACUCAGGGAAACUUGUGCUAAUACCGAAUGUGCCCUUCGGGGGAAAGAUUAUCGCCAUUAGAGCGGCCCGCGUCUGAUUAGCUAGUUGGUGAGGUAACGGCUCACCAAGGCGACGAUCAGUAGCUGGUCUGAGAGGAUGACCAGCCACACUGGGACUGAGACACGGCCCAGACUCCUACGGGAGGCAGCAGUGGGGAAUCUUGCGCAAUGGGCGAAAGCCUGACGCAGCCAUGCCGCGUGAAUGAUGAAGGUCUUAGGAUUGUAAAAUUCUUUCACCGGGGACGAUAAUGACGGUACCCGGAGAAGAAGCCCCGGCUAACUUCGUG
This 432-nucleotide ribosomal RNA is filed under the name uncultured bacterium. Its description in RNAcentral is "partial 16S ribosomal RNA". It matches the Rfam family "Bacterial small subunit ribosomal RNA", at positions 29 to 507 of the family's 1533-position model. The record is from RNAcentral.